Molecule: ribosomal RNA, 583 nt
Filed under: uncultured bacterium
Lineage: Bacteria
Description: bacterial SSU rRNA
Rfam family: Bacterial small subunit ribosomal RNA
Source: RNAcentral
CCUACGGGAGGCAGCAGUAAGGAAUAUUGGUCAAUGGAGGCAACUCUGAACCAGCCAUGCCGCGUGCAGGAUGACGGCCCUAUGGGUUGUAAACUGCUUUUAUACAAGAGAAAACCCUGGUACGUGUACCAGGUUGAUAGUAUUGUAAGAAUAAGCAUCGGCUAACUUCGUGCCAGCAGCCGCGGUAAGACGAAGGAUGCAAGCGUUAUCCGGAUUCAUUGGGUUUAAAGGGUGCGUAGGCGGACUGAUAAGUCAGUGGUGAAAUCUCUUUGCUUAACAAAGAAACUGCCAUUGAUACUGUCGGUCUAGAGUAUAGAUGACGUUGGCGGAAUAUGACAUGUAGUGGUGAAAUACUUAGAUAUGUCAUAGAACACCGAUUGCGAAGGCAGCUAACGAAACUAUAACUGACGCUGAGGCACGAAAGUGCGGGGAUCAAACAGGAUUAGAUACCCUGGUAGUCCGCACCGUAAACGAUGAUUACUCGUUGUUGGCGAUAUGACAGUCAGCGACCAAGCGAAAGCGAUAAGUAAUCCACCUUGGGGAGUACGCCGGCAACGGUUGAACGUUCAAAUUGAAUUGACGG